AGUGAACGCUGGCGGUAGGCCUAACACAUGCAAGUCGAACGGCAGCCCAGGAAGAGCUCGCUCUUACGGGUGACGCGUGGCGGAAUAGUGAGUCAUGCGUCGUAAUCUAGUUAAACGUGGGGGAUUACGUCAGGCAACCUACGGUGGUACGGCAUACGACCUAAGGAUGAGAGCGGGGGGUCUUAGGAUUUUGCGCGAGAGAAUGCGUCGUAGUGGGACUAGCCAGUUGGGGGGGUAAAGGCGUACCAAGGAGACGAUGCAUAGCUUGUCUGAGAGGCUGAGCAGCCACACUGGGACUGAGACACGGCCCAAACUCCUACGGGAGGCAGCCGUGGGGAAUAUUGGACAAUGGGCUCAAGCCUGAUCCAGCCAUGCCGCGUGAGUGAUGAAGGCCUUAGGGUUGUAAAGCUCUUUAACCGAUGAAGAUAAUGACGGUAGUCAGAGAAGAAGCCCCGGCUAACUUCGUG
RNAcentral lists this ribosomal RNA (467 nucleotides) under uncultured bacterium. RNAcentral describes it as "partial 16S ribosomal RNA". It matches the Rfam family "Bacterial small subunit ribosomal RNA", at positions 29 to 507 of the family's 1533-position model. The record is from RNAcentral.